This is a long non-coding RNA of Hordeum vulgare subsp. vulgare (domesticated barley), 419 nucleotides long. RefSeq lists it as uncharacterized. The transcript is spliced from 3 exons. Lineage: Eukaryota; Viridiplantae; Streptophyta; Magnoliopsida; Poales; Poaceae. The record is from RefSeq and is a predicted model, not a curated record.
GGGCAGAUCUGGUGUGGACUGGAAUGCAGAAAACAUUGAAUGGAUAAAUCAGUGGAAUAAUGAAGCUCUACAAAAUAUAGUGCCUCAGCAACGAACGUACGAUGCAACUACGACAGAAGCGUACUAUAAUUGGUAUCGCAUGAGCACGCGUACUAGACUGACGAGUGAACCACCUACGAUGCCAACACAUCCAACGCAUAUGGAACAGUUGCAGAGACGGAUGGACACAUCAUCAGCUUACUAUCGUGACUCCGCGAUUGAUAUUUGCACCCAAGUACAAGCGAUGGCGAGGGAAGGAAUGCGAGCCCAGGGAAUUGAUCCUAAAGGCAGGUCCUUCUUUAAAAAAAUUAGCGAAUUCGUGAGCACAAGGUUUACGAGAUGCGGUACAGAGAACGACGUUGUCACUGCAGCGUACAACA